Molecule: long non-coding RNA, 564 nt
Filed under: Struthio camelus australis
Lineage: Eukaryota; Metazoa; Chordata; Aves; Struthioniformes; Struthionidae
Description: lncRNA (ENSSCUG00000015756.1)
Source: RNAcentral
UUUAAUUUGUGCCUGAAUAAAAAACUGAGCCCUGAGCUAGAAGGAGCCCUGGGAGCCCUGGGAGUCCUGGGAGACAGUCAGCAGCCUGCAUGUGGUGAAGCACAUCGGUUCUUUCAAACCUGUUGGUUAAAUUUGAUUCAAGCUGGCUGGAGGAUUGACACCUCAAAAAUCGUGAGUUCUGUGGUUUUUUGUUUCUCUCUCUCUUUGUUUUUUUUUUUUUUUUAAGACAAAUAUCAUUCCUGAAGCAGCAGGUGCCACAUGAAUUUAGCGUUUGUCUGGUUUGUCCUGUCAGCUGGCUAACUGGUGUGUGAAUGUUAGCUGGUCCACCAGCCCCCACAGCUGGAAACCAGCUCUGUUACAUGCUGCCCCUUGGCUGGCCAGCAGCUGGGCACUAUGAAAGGACCUGACAGUGCAAAGACGCCCACAGGAUAUAGGGAAGUGAAAUCGGCAAGUGGUGCAGGAGAUGAACGCUGAAGCUGUUAAGGAGCUCUAGCUGAAGAAGCUGCAAGGGUUUUGGUGAUGCUAGGAAGGAAAGUGCAUGGGUAUGGGCUAUAAUCAAUGGGU